UGGGGAAUAUUGCACAAUGGAGGGAACUCUGAUGCAGCAACGCCGCGUGCGGGAUGACGGCCUUCGGGUUGUAAACCGCUUUCAGCCAUGAAGAAGCUUUUGUGACGGUAGUGGUAGAAGAAGCACCGGCUAACUACGUGCCAGCAGCCGCGGUGAUACGUAGGGUGCGAGCGUUGUCCGGAAUUAUUGGGCGUAAAGAGCUUGUAGGCGGUUUGUCGCGUCGAUAGUGUAAACACGCAGCUUAACUGUGUGCCUGCUGUCGAUACGGGCUGACUAGUGGAGGGGAGGGGAGAAUGGAAUUCCCGGUGGAGCGGUGGAAUGCGCAGAUAUCGGGAGGAACACCAGUGGCGAAGGCGGUUCUCUGGACCUUUCCUGACGCUGAGAAGCGAAAGCGUGGGUAGCAAACAGG
Molecule: ribosomal RNA, 409 nt
Filed under: Fusobacteriota bacterium
Lineage: Bacteria; Fusobacteriati; Fusobacteriota
Description: Fusobacteria bacterium partial 16S ribosomal RNA
Rfam family: Bacterial small subunit ribosomal RNA
Source: RNAcentral